AAUCAACGCUGGCGGCGUGCCUAACACAUGCAAGUCGAACGCGAGAGGGCUUCGGCCCUGAUUGAGUGGCAAACGGGUGAGUAACGCGUGGGUGACCUACCUUCGAGUGGGGGAUAACGUUCCGAAAGGACGCUAAUACCGCAUAACAUCCUGUCUUUGGACAGAUGGGAGAUCAAAGCCGGGAUCGUAAGACCUGGCGCUUGAGGAGGGGCCCG
RNAcentral lists this ribosomal RNA (215 nucleotides) under uncultured bacterium. Its description in RNAcentral is "partial 16S ribosomal RNA". It matches the Rfam family "Bacterial small subunit ribosomal RNA", at positions 32 to 233 of the family's 1533-position model. The record is from RNAcentral.